Molecule: non-coding RNA, 331 nt
Filed under: Helianthus annuus (common sunflower)
Lineage: Eukaryota; Viridiplantae; Streptophyta; Magnoliopsida; Asterales; Asteraceae
Description: Bacterial small subunit ribosomal RNA
Rfam family: Bacterial small subunit ribosomal RNA
Source: Rfam by way of RNAcentral
UGAUCCAUAUGAGUUCAGCUGCAGUGUUAGCCAUAGCCCUGUACUCAGAUUCACAGCUGGAACGAGAGACCGUGGGCAGCACCUGCCCUUGGGAGGGGAACAACAGCUGGAAACGGCUGCUAAUACCCCGUAGGCUGAGGAGCAAAAGGAGGAAUCUGCCCGAGGAGGGGCUCGCGUCUGAUUAGCUAGUUGGUGAGGUAAUAGCUUACCAAGGCGAUGAUCAGUAGCUGGUCCGAGAGGAUGAUCAGCCACACUGGGACUGAGACACGGCCCAGACUCCUACGGGAGGCAGCAGUGGGGAAUUUUCCGCCAAGAUACUAAGUUUCCGCCA